UACGAAGGGGGCUAGCGUUGCUCGGAAUCACUGGGCGUAAAGGGCGCGUAGGCGGCCGAUUAAGUCGGGGGUGAAAGCCUGUGGCUCAACCACAGAAUUGCCUUCGAUACUGGUUGGCUUGAGACCGGAAGAGGACAGCGGAACUGCGAGUGCAGAGGUGAAAUUCGUAGAUAUUCGCAAGAACACCAGUGGCGAAGGCGGCUGUCUGGUCCGGUUCUGACGCUGAGGCGCGAAAGCGUGGGGAGCAAACAGG
RNAcentral lists this ribosomal RNA (253 nucleotides) under uncultured bacterium. RNAcentral's name for it is "partial 16S ribosomal RNA". It matches the Rfam family "Bacterial small subunit ribosomal RNA", at positions 524 to 776 of the family's 1533-position model. The record is from RNAcentral.